CGUAUCACUUAAAUUUGUUUGAGUGAAUAACGAUUGACGGAACGAAGUGACGUCAAUGCGUUAAUGAAAGUCGAGGCGAAAGCACGACAAAGCGAAUUUAAGGAUACGUUCGUUGGGUAGGGGAGCGUUCUGUAAGCCUGCGAAGGUGUACUGUGAGGUAUGCUGGAGGUAUCAGAAGUGCGAAUGCUGACAUAAGUAACGAUAAUGCGGGUGAAAAACCCGCACGCCGGAAGACCAAGGGUUCCUGUCCAACGUUAAUCGGGGCAGGGUGAGUCGACCCCUAAGGCGAGGCUGAAAAGCGUAGUCGAUGGGAAACGGGUUAAUAUUCCCGUACUGGUGGUAACUGCGAUGGGGGAACGGAGAAGGCUAGGUUGUCCGGGCGACGGUCGUCCCGGUUCAAGCAGGUAGGCAGAGUGAUUAGGCAAAUCCGGUCACUUAAUGC
Molecule: ribosomal RNA, 442 nt
Filed under: Proteus mirabilis
Lineage: Bacteria; Pseudomonadati; Pseudomonadota; Gammaproteobacteria; Enterobacterales; Morganellaceae
Description: partial 23S ribosomal RNA
Rfam family: Bacterial large subunit ribosomal RNA
Source: RNAcentral